AACAUAGAUGCAAAAGAUAUCAAUAAACUGAAGAACAACCUCCAGUACCAACCCACCCACCAACUGAAAAAGCGUAACACUGUUUUAUUCCAAGGGGAUAAAAAUGCGCCCUAGCAAACAAGAAUUCAAGAUGACUUUAUCUUGAAUUAUCCAAUCCUCGGAACUACUACCUACACACCUCACUAUGAAUACAUGGAUGCCUUUGGACCUUCACAAUAAUAACUCGUUAAAGAAAAGGAUGAAACCCAAUAUUCCAUGUGGAUUGGUAACUGUUCAUGCCCAAUUUGGAUGAGUGCUUUAUAAGGAACAUCAAUAAUCCAUGCCCAUGCCAGGGGCCAUUGCUGGAACAUCCUUCUCGUCUUUUGGAAGUUCAGAUACAACAGCUUCUGUUGUUGUCAUCAAUGAUGACACGCUUGCCGCAUCAACCAAAGCAGUUCUAAUUACUUU
Molecule: unclassified non-coding RNA, 447 nt
Filed under: Hevea brasiliensis (rubber tree)
Lineage: Eukaryota; Viridiplantae; Streptophyta; Magnoliopsida; Malpighiales; Euphorbiaceae
Source: RNAcentral